GCCCAGGUGGCGGAAAUGGUAGACGCAAGGGACUUAAAAUCCCUCGGUCAAUACGGCUGUGCGGGUUCGAUUCCCGCCCUGGGCACCA
This 88-nucleotide transfer RNA is filed under the name Desulfococcaceae bacterium OttesenSCG-928-F15. RNAcentral's name for it is "tRNA-Leu". It matches the Rfam family "tRNA". Rfam says of the family: Transfer RNA (tRNA) molecules are approximately 80 nucleotides in length. Their secondary structure includes four short double-helical elements and three loops (D, anti-codon, and T loops). Lineage: Bacteria; Pseudomonadati; Thermodesulfobacteriota; Desulfobacteria; Desulfobacterales; Desulfococcaceae. The record is from RNAcentral.